Molecule: unclassified non-coding RNA, 253 nt
Filed under: uncultured Alphaproteobacteria bacterium
Lineage: Bacteria; Pseudomonadati; Pseudomonadota; Alphaproteobacteria
Description: contains 16S-23S intergenic spacer region
Rfam family: Bacterial small subunit ribosomal RNA
Source: RNAcentral
UACGAAGGGGGCUAGCGUUGCUCGGAAUUACUGGGCGUAAAGGGCGCGUAGGCGGCCCUAUCAGUCAGGCGUGAAAUCCCUGGGCUUAACCUGGGGGCUGCGCUUGAUACGGUGGGGCUAGAGGAUGGAAGAGGCUCGUGGAAUUCCCAGUGUAGAGGUGAAAUUCGUAGAUAUUGGGAAGAACACCGGUGGCGAAGGCGGCGAGCUGGUCCAUUACUGACGCUGAGGCGCGACAGCGUGGGGAGCAAACAGG